GGGCUUCUGGUGACGUCAUUUUUCCUGUUGGUUCAUUAGAUGAUUACAGCGAAGACAUUCCCAUUGAAGGCGAGGAUGAUCUAGAAGAUGAUGCAGAACCGAAAAAUGAAAACCGGUCCUCAUGAAUGUGAAUAAUGUUUUCAAUCAACCAAGAGGUUUAUUAGUGCAAAAAGAUUGUUGGCAAUAUCUUGCUAUGCUAUGAGGCUUUAAUUAUUUGAGAAGUUGGCAACUUGGUUUAAUGGCCCACACUUUUCCAACUCGCAUCAGCAGAGGAGAGCACCUAUUCAAGUUGUGGGCUUUUGUUGAGGUUUCUUUCAUUCUUUCUAAAAUAAUGUAUAAACAUCAAAUAUUAUAUCAACCCGAAUCAAAUGCCUAAUUGCGUACCGUUAGUUUUCUUUUCCUCUCCAACUGCCCCCAAUUUCUAAUCCCUCAACUAACAGCUAAUUUCUAAAUCUCUAACAAAAUAACUUUGCCUUCUCCAAUCCAACACCCACCGGCCACCCCCAUCGUCGUUCACCAGUUAGGCAGUCACCACCGUUCCACCAUCAUCGUUCUCCAGUCAGGUAGUCACCAUCGGUCCACGCGUCACCACCCAUCAAUCUCUUUCAAGCCAUCAGAAAUGGGGAAUUUUAGGUCUUACAAGGAAACUAGAGGGUAGGGUGUACGGUGGACAAGGUUUAAAAUGAGUGGCAAUUUUGGUAAUAGUGGAAUGAAUGAGAACUAGAACAAGAUCUUUCUGUCUCGGUCAUUUUGCUAUCAAAUUUGACUGGAAUCACAAGCAUGUGAGAAUGAAUGAAGCAAUGAAUACUUCAGAGAUUGGAGUUCAAAAGCCUGAUUCUGCCAGUGCAAAACUGAAGUGGAAUUGGCAGUGAAAAAGAAGUAGGAAGUUGCAAUGAUGGCUUUCGGCUUACUGUUUUCCUCAAAUCUGACAUCUACAUCUACCCCCAUUUGUUAAGUAUCUCUUCAAUCUACAUCUAGCCCCAUUUAUUUGCCAUUUCUCUCUAUCUCUCUCGAUCUCCCUCUUUUGUUUUCUUUUUCUUCCUCUUUUCUUCUGCUUUCAUAACAAAUCUUCAAAUAUUAAUGAAUUUGGUUUACUGUUUCCCUCUUUUUCUGUUUUCCUCUUUUGUAUAUAUUAAUGAAUUCAGGUCUUCCUGACAUUCUAGGUUAUAGUUUAUUCUUAAUGGAACUUUGGGUAUGUGGUAAAUAUUUUCAUUUUGGGGAGUAAAUUUUGGUACAGAAAUUGCAUAUUAGUCCAACAUCAUCUGUGUAUUCAAUUGAAUGUGUUUUCCGUCUUUUAAGGGUAUUGCUUAUUGAUUCCUCAAUGAAGAUAUCUUUCACUCACUGCAUUAGAGAUGGAGAUUUGAUUAUUGCAUAUGAGAGGCAUGAUACUAUGAAAGCUGUUAAAGUGUGCGAGAAUUCGGUUCUUCAAAAUCGUUUCGCUGUAUUUAAACAUUCAGAUUAGAUCGGGAAGCCAUUUGGUUCUAUAAUUUUCAGUGACAGAGGUGGAUUCGUUUACCUAUUGGCUCCGACAUCGGAGUUAUGGACUUUGGUUCUAAGUCAUAGGACUCAGAUUCUUUAUAUUGCGGAUAUUAGCUUUGUGAUCAUGUACUUGGAAGUAGUUCUGGGAUGUUUGGUUCUUGAAUCCGGGACCGGUAGUGGCUCAUUAACAACAUCGUUUGCAAGGGCUGUGGCUCCAACGGGACAUGUGUAUACCUUUGAUUUCCAUGAACAGAGGGCUGCCUCAGCUAGGCUGAGGGAUUUCCUGAUCAGAUUUCUGGGUUGGCUGACUCCGUAUUUCUGGACCUACCGCAACCUUAGCUAGCCAUUCCUUCAGCUUGAAACAUGUUGAAACAAGAUGGAACUCUGUGUUCCAUCUCACCGUGCAUCGAACAAGUUGCACGUUCAUGUGAAACUCUUAGAUCUGACUUUACAGGUGACAUAUUAGAAACAAGUUACGCUAUCUUGUUCAAGCAGUUUUUCCUUUAAAGCAUCAUGAGCUUUGCUUGUAAUAUGCACAGAUAUAUAUGGACGUUUGAAAUACUGCUCCUCAUGUAUGAAAUCCAUGAAUGGAAAAUGGAUCACUCGAAGCUUUUGUGUAACCACGUGCCAACAAAACACACUUGCUACAGCAGGAUAUUGAAAUCCCACCCUUCAUCGGAUUGUAAUUUCAGGACAUCGGCCAUUCAUAUUAACCCAAGAUAUGAGCAUUGCUGGGAAGGAGUCUUUGAGGGGCAUGCGGUUUAAAUAUGCUAUGGAAUCUGAUGAAGAUCCACAACCAUCGGUAAAAGAGAAACCAUCAACUACUGACGAGGAAUAUGAAAAGCUAGGGGACACUUGCACUUUUGGAGUAUAUCACAGUCAGCCAUUUGAUGUCAUUUGUUCACCAGUAUGAGCAUCUUCCUCAGUUGUUACUAGCCUUUCUAGUGAAGAGACAGCUGAAGGAACCAAUAUAAGCAUUAUUGAGAAGGAAUGUUGGAUUCAGAAGCAAUUUUCAGCUUUUGUUUGGGCCAGUGGAGAUCAACAGUCAUGGAGAAAAGGGAAACCAUUGACCACUGAAGUUGCAGUUUUGAAAGAUCAUGUCCCUAGUUUGAAGUCACUGGAGAUCAACAGUCAUGGAGAAAAGGGAAACCGUGAACCUGAGAUCAUGUCCCUAGUUUCGAGUUAUAGAUUUAUUAACCCCAUCUCCCUGCUAUAGAGUCAGGCCAUGCACCAAGAAAAGAAGAAUUUCCAAGUUUUCUCCCGAGAUCAUAGAUCUCACUUGAGCUUUGUCUGAGCAUAGAAUGUUGGGCAUGAAUUAACAGGAGGAUUAAGCGGGCCACAAGAGUAAUUGUUUUAUCCCUUAAAUCAACUGUAAGGUCUGGGUAGGGAAUUUUAUUCAUUUCUACUAUGAUAAUGACCCGUUCUGCUUUAAUGCUAAUUGAUCAGAUUAGAAGUAAUUGUUUUCAUCCAAUACUACAAUCCUGCCUAGCUGAUGAUGAGGAAAUUACUUCAUUUUAUAUUGUCUUACCUCCGAUCAGGCCAGCUUCCUUCCCAUCAUUCGAAAUUUAAAUCCUCAAAUAUAUCUAUUCAAUUCAUAGCUCCCUCAUUUCUUCACCAAUUCUCUCUCACUCUAGCUUUCUUUUCAAUUAUUUCCUGUCAUUCUUUUUUAGCUUUGGGUAACAACAGGCCAAAAAAAACAUGCUACAGUAGGAAGAGAGUUUUCGUGAGAGAGAAGCCCUAAGUUUUCUCUGGCGUUUCUAGUUUCUGUGAUUUUUUAAAUCCGCUGCUUCAUCUGAGACGUAAAUGAACACAUAAUGUUUUUCUUGGUAAAACCUUUGUUUCUAUUGUAGAAAUCUCCUGUUUCCCAAUUUCUCAAUGAUCUCUCUCCUAUAAUGCCAUCCAGAGCGAGAGCAUCACUGUAGAUGAAAUUGGUGGGUCAAGUUCAAAUGGUCGCAACCAAGAUGAUUCUCUGAUCAAACAUGGUGAAUUCUGGGCUCAACAUGAUGAACUACAUGGUGCUUGUUUCAAUGCCUCGGAAGUGACCACAGGAAAAACUAAUGAUAACACGAAUGAUGGCAUGGUUGAGAUUUCCAAUGAUGAAAGGUUUGGAUUCUCAGCCCUCUUCCCUUGGUGGAAAUCAGGCCACGUUAAUUCAGCUCCCAUCUCAUAUUCUACCGUUAAACCAUGAUCCCUUGAUCUCACCAGCUGGGAGAGUCGGUGAUCAUGUUGAUAAUGAUCACCAUGGAGUUCGACCAUUAAACCCUGAUCCCUUGAUCUCAUCCGCUAGGAGAGUUGGUGAUCAUGUUGAUAGCGACCACCAUGACGUUGUGCACCAGAAAAUAUGGAGGAUUCUCCGAAAGUGUCAUGUUUUCACCAGCUCAUAAUCCCUUAUGAACAUUUUGCUGACAGGGUUGACCAACUAUCCAAAUCCCAAGAUAGCUGAAAAGGGGAGAGGCAAGUUUCACAUUGCUUUCUUAGCUGUGGGAUUUAUUGAAUUCAGGAAUAAACAUUCCCAGAUGAGACUGAAGCCUGGAAACACUGCAACUGUAGAAGAUCCAGAUGUUUGAAACUACUUGGCAAUGGUGUUUUGGCAUUUCUCCCAGCUUUAGGAGGUCUGGAGUAUGUAAGUAGAGAAUCAUGCCUGAUGUUAUUUAUAUUACUGCUCUGAAUUGGUCCCAGUUCCCAGAAGCAAUUUGAUUUAAAGCAUCUGCUUAACCAAUAAUUGUGUUUCUUCAAAAAAGCUUUUGGUAUUUUGCUGCUCUCUCCUUGAAAUAUUGGAUCAACUGACAUGUUCGUUUUGAAAUUGGAUGCUUAGGAUUUGUUUGGCCUAGAUGUUUUAUAAAAAACUGUUGUUCAAGUAGAUCACUUUAGUGCUGUAAAAGAUAAAAUAAAAAAUAUUUAAAAAAAACCUAAACUUUAUUAAAUUGAGGGUUUUGUUGAUACAAUAUAAGAAUGUGGCAAGAAGGUUGGAGGCAGUUCACUCGAUGGGCCGAGAGUUGUAAGUGGUAGUAGAUAGGUUGGUCCAUUCUUGUUAUGAGGUUUGAGGGGAGUAUUUAAGGGGAACACUUAUAAGCCAUGUUUUAUAAAAAACCAGUAUCCCAAUUGUUAAGUCAACCAUCAGUAAAUCGGCACAUAUGAAUGCUCAUUAUAUUUAUCCCUCCAAAGCUUGAGGAAUGUCAGUAAUUAUUUAUAACAUUCAUAAGUUAUACAAUGCUUAUCCUUUAGCUAGGUAUGCAUGGAAGUGAGCUUGUCAUAUGUGGCGAGUACCUUUCAACCUAACUGUGCGGUUAUUGAUUUAUAUUUAUAUUACAUAUACACAAAUUUAUAUUUAUCACUGCCCUGCUUCAGACCUAACUGUGCGGUUUACACAAAUUUAUAUUAAAUAUAAUUUUACAUAAAUUUUUCACCCGAUGCAAAAAGGCAACAAACUAGGGUUAGUGAUUAUAUUUAUGUUAAGUUCUCACUUAACCCGUUUGCCUCUGGCAUCUUCCCUCAUGGCUUAGAAAGAAGCUGCCCUUGCUGCUGCUCCCUCUGAUUCUACUACCAUGUCAGCCCAGGCCUAUGUUUCUCCUCCUCCUCCUAUUCAUCAAUUUCUUAUUUUUGAAAAAAAGAAUUCUUUUUUUUUUUUAGAAUAAUUCUCGACAGUAAAUGUUCCUUCCCUUUUCACUUCGAUGUGAAUUACCGGGACAAGGAAAUUGCAGCUACCGUGGUGUAUGAAAAUGAUAAGGUGAUGCUCAUUUUAUAUAUAUUUUUUGUAUUUGUUUCUUAAAACAAAUUUCCCUCAACCAAAUUCUGGUCGUGACCUGGAACUUGGUCUGGCUUUUAACAAUUCAAAAGGAAUCCAUGGUGUGAAUUGAGGGUCCAUCGAUAGUGCUGUAACAACUGGUGUAUAGCCAGUGUCCACUGACAAUGCAGUGACCCCCAAUGUCAAGCCAGAAUCACCUGGGAAGAUCCGGUUCUAAUCCAGGAUUUCAGGUGGAAAGGAAACUAGAAGUUGAUGACCCAAGUGAAGUGCUACAAAUUAUGCAGAUGCAGUCUAUUGGUAUAUAUUUUUUAAUCUAAUCAUAGCUUGAGUUGUAAAACCCUCCUUAAAGUGGGGGGAAGAACGUCAGUUGAGCAAAUGUUUGAAAAAGAAUCCACUCAUGAUAAUUUAUGCACUGGCAUCUUGUUGAUAUUUCCCUACCCAAUCAAGAUAUCCAAGUGCAAAAAAAAUGCAAAAUGUAUGAAGGAAAGCUUUGUCGUAAGAUCUGUGAUUAACUUGGAAAUAUAGUCAUGGAAAUGACUGCAUAAAUUGGAAUUGCCAGUUGAUCUUUUGCUUUCGAUAAGAA
Gossypium arboreum is the source of this 5807-nucleotide RNA transcript. RefSeq lists it as uncharacterized. NCBI's taxonomy places the organism in Eukaryota, Viridiplantae, Streptophyta, Magnoliopsida, Malvales, Malvaceae. The transcript has 15 exons. The record is from RefSeq and is a predicted model, not a curated record.